AGAUACAGAGCGCAGGAUAUUAAUGUUUUUCUCACAUUUCUGUGAGACAUAAUCAAAGUGCUUUACGCCUGAUAAUUUUUGAUCUAACCAAAUCCCUAGAAAUUUAACAUUGGUAACAACAGCAGUUGAUAGUGACAACCCAUGUUGCAUUAAAUAAUCAGCAAGAUAUUCAAGUGCACAAUUUAACUGAUUGGAUGAAUCCUGUAUGGACUUGUUGGAAGUAUACAGAACAAUAUCAUCUGCAUAUUGCAGUAUUUGGCAGAAGGGGGAUACAGAGCUAUUGAGGUCAUAUGUAUACAGAUUGUAGAGAAGGGGACUAAGGACUGAGCCUUGAGAAACUUUUGCAAGAGUAGAAGAGAGGGCAAUUGGUCUAUAACUUGUGGCUUCAGAUGGAUUCUGACCAGGUUUAAGAAUUGGUAUUAUUACCUGAUUUUUCCAGGGUGGAGGGAUGACCCCAAAAUCAAAAAGGUUAUUUAUAAUAUCUAGGUAAUAUUUCUUGGAUGUAGUUGAUGAGUUUUUGAUGAAAGAAUAGGGGAUUCCAUCUGCUCCAGGAGCAGAAUCAGCUAGACCGUCUAAAGCGAGAAGGAGUUCAGAAAAAGAGAAAGGAGACUCUAAACUAUGAGUAGAGGCAAGAGGGCCUGGAGGGGAUGGAAAAUAGUCCAUGUUUGGAGCUGAAGGGGGGGACAUUCUAUCUGAAAAGUAUUCAAGCCACAAAGAUGAAUC
Molecule: long non-coding RNA, 723 nt
Organism: Leptidea sinapis
Lineage: Eukaryota; Metazoa; Arthropoda; Insecta; Lepidoptera; Pieridae
Exons: 3
Source: RefSeq, a predicted model, not a curated record